This 253-nucleotide ribosomal RNA is filed under the name uncultured prokaryote. RNAcentral describes it as "partial 16S ribosomal RNA". It matches the Rfam family "Bacterial small subunit ribosomal RNA", at positions 525 to 777 of the family's 1533-position model. The record is from RNAcentral.
ACAGAGGGUGCGAGCGUUAAUCGGAGUUACUGGGCGUAAAGGGCGCGUAGGCGGUGAUAUGAGUGUGAUGUGAAAGCCCCGGGCUUAACCUGGGAAGUGCAUCGCAAACGAUAUGACUGGAGUAGAUGAGAGGGUGGCGGAUUUUCCGGUGUAGCGGUGAAAUGCGUAGAGAUCGGAAGGAACGUCAAUGGCGAAGGCAGCCACCUGGCAUCAUACUGACGCUGAGGCGCGAAAGCGUGGGGAGCGAACAGGA